This 2136-nucleotide long non-coding RNA is filed under the name Homo sapiens (human). Its description in RNAcentral is "HSALNT0342178". The record is from RNAcentral. Lineage: Eukaryota; Metazoa; Chordata; Mammalia; Primates; Hominidae.
ACCACUUCUCUUUCAAAGAUGGACUGGGGAAAGACAUUAAGUUCGGAGCAGCCCAAGGCUGCGGAUCUAGCCUUUCUCCCUCCGGUCUCCAGACCCACGCAGGUUAAGGCAGCCAAGCAGAGACAGCGGAGCCCCGGUGCGUGGUUCAGGCCUGGUCAACAGGUAGGAGGGCCAGACUGGGGGCCAGGCACAGAGGAGGGCAGGCCCGCCCGCACCGGCGUCCAGGGUCCCGGGUUCCGGGUCCCGGGACUGGAGGAGGUCGCCGGCAGCCCGCCCUUCCAGAGGCUUGAGAUUGGGUGGACGAGACCUGAAGAUCCUCUCGGUCUGGACCCCGACUUUCGAUCUGCUUAGAGACCUAAGCCGCGAGCCUUUGCCCACACGGAGAAACGUACUAUCUAAUAUCUAACAACCCUGUACUGCAGUGUCUGGAGGUUGCGGGAAGGAGACAGUGUCUCCCUUUGGGAAAACUACUGAGGACUUCUGUAUAUCCUACUUCUUCUGGACUCCAUAAGUUACAGGACCGAAGGAAACUGAGAAAUAGAGAAAAGGUGCCGCUUGCCCCUUUAACUCCAGAAAAGGGUGGCUGCAGAUGGAGCAGCUUGGACUUUAUUUUUUACGUUGCGCGAAGCCCGCCGGCAGCGGCUUAUGCCAAUUGAUUUUCCCAGCUCCCAGCCCUGGAUGUCUAGCUAUCUCCAGGACAGUUUGUUUUUUUCUUUUUCUGUCUUUCUUUCUUUCCUUCAAUGUAUCAGAAGACCUGAAGCUCGCUGCCCGCGAGUUUCCUCCGAGUUCCCAGGUCAGCGGCGUUUGCGCUCCUCUCCCCCUCCUUUUCCCAGCCCGUUGCGCUUAAGUUCUUGAGUCUGGGGAGCCGGUUCAGUAACUCUGAAUUCAUUUUUAAGUGGCGUGCCCUGUUCCCCACCUUUUAACAAGAGGUGCACUUUAACACGCGAACCAGUAACACGAUCUACACGUUUACAAAUCGGCAAUGAAUUAAAACAACAACAGAAAAGCUUCAUGGAAAAAGAAAGACAGAGUCUUGCUCUAUUGCCCAGGCUGCAACUGGUGUGAUCUCGGCUCACUACAACCUCUGCCUCCUGGGUUCAAGCGAUUCUCCUGCCUCAAGCUCCCAAGUAGCUGGGAUUACAAGCAUGCACCACCAUGCCUGGCUAAUUUUUGUAUUUUUAGUGGAGACGGGGUUUCGCCACAUUGGCCAGGGUGGUCUUGAACUCCUGACCUCAAGUGAUCCACCUGCCUUGGCCUCCCAAAGUGCUGGGAUUAUAAGCAUGAGCCACUGCACCCAGCCUUAUACUGAACUUUCAAUGGGUUCAAUUCCACUAGGAGCAUAAAGGCCACUGCAUAUGAGUUGUGGAAAGAAGAGAUUAGAAGAAGGAAGAACUUGAGAUGAGUUCCUCCCUUCAACAUUCUGUCUCCUCCUACCUAGCAUCUUCUUUCUUUUAGUCUUUCUAGAAUGUCCAUCUGUUUUUGGCCAUUGCGGAGAGAGAAGCUGAGCUUUAAAGGAGUAGGAGCUUCAAAGGCUUGCUGAGACAAAGGAAAACCCACUCCCUUGGAGGAGCAUGACCUUUUCCUGUAAUUCUUCCCACUGCUGUUGUUGAGCUCCUUGGAUCCUGGCUCCUGGACACCAUCAUCAAGAAGACUUUAUGGAUGGGCUGUCCACCCACUGAGAGAAGAGGAGCAUCAGCUACAGUUUCUCUCUAGAUUGCCUUCUUCAUUUUGAGUAAUGACUGUCAGCAGGGUCAGAUUAAACACAAAACAACUGGACAAUUGCUUGGAGGACUAAACUAUAAGGGCACUAACAUGUCAAUAGUAGGCUAACACAUCCAUGGAAAAUAUAUUUACCAGCUCUUCUCUCAGGGAGGAUUCUGUGUGGGGUUGGAAGUAAUGAUUUGUUAAAUUCCUUAGGGGUAGAAAGUAGGGCAUAAUCAGAAUAUAGAGGAAUAUGCUGUUUGACUUCAGGGUUUCUGUUUUUCUUACUAGGAUAUAUAAAACAGGGACUCUAGCUAGAUUGUUUAUGACCACAGAGGGUAGGCUGAGUGCUCCCAUGAUCUUCCUGCUUGGUUCUUGCCCAUACAGAGGUCAGCCUUUCCUCUAAUAAAGAUUGAACAAGUAGUGGUCUGAGGG